CACCCGCGCCACAAGUGGUAGUCGCGUUUAUUGGGCCUAAAGCGUCCGUAGCUGGCCUGGUAAAUCUUUUGUGAAAUUGUUAGGCUUAACCUAACGACGCGCAGAAGACACUGCUAGGCUUGGAACCGGAGAAGAGUCAGAAGUAUUAUUGGGGUAGCGGUAAAAUGUUAUAAUCCCUUUAAGACUACCGAUGGCGAAAGCAUCUGACUAGAACGGAUUCGACAGUGAGGGACGAAAGCCAGGGGAGCAAACCGGAUUAGAUACCCGAGUAGUCCUGGCUGUAAACUCUGCGAGCUAGGUGUUGCACAUUCUUCGAGAAUGUGCAGUGUCGAAAUGAAGAUGUUAAGCUCGCCGCCUGGGAAGUAUGGUCGCAAGGCUGAAACUUUAAGGAAUUGGCGGGGGAGCACUACAAGGGGUGCGGCGUGCGGUUUAAUCUAACUCAACGCAGAGAAUCUCACCAGGGGCGACGGCAGGAUGAAAGUCAGGUUAAAGACUUUACUUGACGAGCCGAGAGGUAGUGCAUGGCCGCCGUCAGCUCGUGCCGUAAGGUGUCCUGUUAAGUCAGGCAACGAGCGAGACCUGUACCUACAAUUGCUAGCAACUCAAUUUGAGGAUUGAGCACAUUGUGGGAACUGCUCCGGAAACGGAGAGGAAGGUGCAGGCCACGGUAGGUCUGUAUGCUCCGAAUCCUCUGGGCAACACGCGCGCAACAAUGGUAAGGACAGUGGGAUACAACUCCGAAAGGAGAAGUUAAACCUCUAAACCUUAUCCUAGUCCAGAUUGAAGGCUGUAACUCGCCUUCAUGACGUUGGAAUCCCUAGUAAUCGUUCCUCAUCAUAGAACGGUGAAUAUGUCCCUGCUCCU
RNAcentral lists this ribosomal RNA (864 nucleotides) under uncultured archaeon. Its description in RNAcentral is "SSU rRNA". It matches the Rfam family "Archaeal small subunit ribosomal RNA", at positions 474 to 1337 of the family's 1478-position model. The record is from RNAcentral.